UACGGGGGGGGCCAGCGUUGUCCGGAAUCAUUGGGCGUAAAGCGCGUGUAGGCGGCCCGAUAAGUCCGCUGUGAAAGUCCAGGGCUCAACCCUGGAAUGCCGGUGGAUACUGUCGGGCUCGAGUCCGGAAGAGGCGAGUGGAAUUCCUGGUGUAGCGGUGAAAUGCGCAGAUAUCAGGAGGAACACCGAUGGCGAAGGCAGCUCGCUGGGACGGUACUGACGCUGAGACGCGAAAGCGUGGGGAGCAAACAGG
This 253-nucleotide ribosomal RNA is filed under the name uncultured bacterium. Its description in RNAcentral is "partial 16S ribosomal RNA". It matches the Rfam family "Bacterial small subunit ribosomal RNA", at positions 524 to 776 of the family's 1533-position model. The record is from RNAcentral.